GUCCCUGCAGCACAAUGGAUUGCGCGUUGGACUUCUAAUCUAAAGAUCGUGGGUUGGAAUCCCACUUGGGAUU
This 73-nucleotide transfer RNA is filed under the name Trichonephila clavata. It matches the Rfam family "tRNA". From Rfam's summary of the family: Transfer RNA (tRNA) molecules are approximately 80 nucleotides in length. Their secondary structure includes four short double-helical elements and three loops (D, anti-codon, and T loops). The record is from Rfam by way of RNAcentral. Lineage: Eukaryota; Metazoa; Arthropoda; Arachnida; Araneae; Nephilidae.